Molecule: ribosomal RNA, 403 nt
Filed under: uncultured bacterium
Lineage: Bacteria
Description: bacterial SSU rRNA
Rfam family: Bacterial small subunit ribosomal RNA
Source: RNAcentral
AGACCGGGAUAACAGUGGGAAACUGCUGCUAAUACCGGGUACGCUUCAGUAUUUCACGUAUGGGGGAAAGCGGCCUCUGCUUGCAAGCUGCCACUCUUGGAUGGGCCCGCGUCUCAUUAGGCUUGUUGGUAGGGUAACGGCCUACCAAGGCGACGAUGAGUAGCUGGUCUGAGAGGAUGAUCAGCCACACUGGGACUGGAACACGGCCCAGACUCCUACGGGAGGCAGCAGUGGGGAAUAUUGCGCAAUGGGCGAAAGCCUGACGCAGCGACGCCGCGUGAGGGAAGAAGGCCUUCGGGUCGUAAACCUCUGUCAGGAGGGAAGAAACCAUGGGAGUCGAACAGGCUCUCGUGCUGACGGUACCUCCGGAGGAAGCACCGGCUAACUCCGUGCCAGCCGCCGC